This 68-nucleotide transfer RNA is filed under the name Rattus norvegicus (Norway rat). It matches the Rfam family "tRNA". Rfam says of the family: Transfer RNA (tRNA) molecules are approximately 80 nucleotides in length. Their secondary structure includes four short double-helical elements and three loops (D, anti-codon, and T loops). Further hydrogen bonds mediate the characteristic L-shaped molecular structure. tRNAs have two regions of fundamental functional importance: the anti-codon, which is responsible for specific mRNA codon recognition, and the 3' end, to which the tRNAs corresponding amino acid is attached (by aminoacyl-tRNA synthetases). tRNAs cope with the degeneracy of the genetic code in two manners: having more than one tRNA (with a specific anti-codon) for a particular amino acid; and 'wobble' base-pairing, i.e. permitting non-standard base-pairing at the 3rd anti-codon position. Lineage: Eukaryota; Metazoa; Chordata; Mammalia; Rodentia; Muridae. The record is from Rfam by way of RNAcentral.
GGGGAUUUAGCUCAGUGGUAGAGCGCUUGCCUAGUGAGCAAGGCCCUGGGUUCCUUCCCCAGCUCCCG